AGCUCCAAUAGCGUAUAUUAAAGUUGUUGCGGUUAAAAAGCUCGUGGUUGAAUUCAAAACGUGUGCUGGAUGGUUCAUAUUAGUAUGAACUUGAAGGGCAGUUUUAAUAGUCGACAGACUUUAAUAAUAUUAAUUUAUUGUUUUAGCGAGUCGACGAGUUUACUCUGAAAAAAUUGGAGUGCUCAAAGCAGGCUCUUGCCUGCAUAGUGUUUCAUGGAAUAAUGAAAUAAGACUUUGGUCUUAUUUUGUUGGUUUUAGAGACCAAGGAAAUGAUUAAAAGGGACUGCCGGGGGCAUAUGUAUACCAGCGUUAGAGGUGGAAUUCUUAGAUCGUUGGUAGACAAUCUAUUGCGAAAGCAUUUGCCAAGAAUGUUUUCAUUAAUCAAGAACGAAAGUACGCA
RNAcentral lists this ribosomal RNA (400 nucleotides) under phytoplankton environmental sample. Its description in RNAcentral is "partial small subunit ribosomal RNA". It matches the Rfam family "Eukaryotic small subunit ribosomal RNA", at positions 587 to 995 of the family's 1831-position model. The record is from RNAcentral.